AAUAGGCUCAUCAUCAAUG
RNAcentral lists this small nuclear RNA (19 nucleotides) under Arabidopsis thaliana (thale cress). Its description in RNAcentral is "snRNA_01835". Lineage: Eukaryota; Viridiplantae; Streptophyta; Magnoliopsida; Brassicales; Brassicaceae. The record is from RNAcentral.